UGGCUGUAGCGCUGCAAGUGGGAUCCUGUCCCAAAAGUUGAGCCUGACUUAGGCUGGGCCCCGCAGGCGGCAGGGUCAGCCGGCAUCCCUGGCAGGGGAAUCGGGAAGGUCACAGUGAUAAAUCUCUGUGUGGAGACUCAGAGGGCACGAAACAGGUCCUGCUUAUGUCCUCUGCCUGUCACAGCCUGCCAGCCACCCCACCGCUCACCCCUGCCUCAGCAUCCUUGCAACUAGUUGAAUCAAUCAGGAGCCCAAGGGAACGAAUUGUUCUCUGUGUGAAAUGGGUCUGACCCACUGGGGAAGUCGAGAGGAGCGUCCGCCUGGCCUUUUCCCGAGCUGGGUGGGAGGGAAACGAGUUCGGCGCGCGGGGCGGGGGCAGGGGUGAGGCGCAGCGGCCGAGAUCCUGAGCCACGGGACCCUUGUUCCGGGUCCCGCGGCCUGCUCAGUAGUUGCCCCUCGGGGUUCCAGGCGGAUGACUGACAGUUGCAGCAGCUCGGGGGAGGCGAGGGAUAGGCAGGACUUGGGGCUCCCGUCUGCUGGGCUGUGAGGUCCCCGCGGCCCGAUGACCCGGCCUCGGUGAUAAGCGCCGCGACAACGGCAACCUCGAGCUGGAGCCAGACGGCUCGCGAUGGGUCAGGGGGCGACCGAGGAGGGACCAUGCGGCCUGUAGGGGGCAGCGCCGAGCUCGGGAGGAGACAACCGCCGGCGGGCGGGGUGGGUCUGGGCUGCCCCCUCCGGGAGCUGCCCCGGGGCGGCACGGCGACUGUCCUAACCGGCCGCCCCUGCCCGCCGUGCGCUUCCUCUCGGCGCCGCGGGCCUCAGCCGGGGCCCUGAGGGAAUCUUCCGAUAAUUCUGCCGCCGCGACUUUAACCGUGCACAAGGCGAGAGCUCGAAACAAACAUCACAUCUAAAUUA
Long non-coding RNA from Cebus imitator (Panamanian white-faced capuchin), 915 nucleotides. RefSeq lists it as uncharacterized. The transcript has 2 exons. NCBI's taxonomy places the organism in Eukaryota, Metazoa, Chordata, Mammalia, Primates, Cebidae. The record is from RefSeq and is a predicted model, not a curated record.